This 253-nucleotide ribosomal RNA is filed under the name uncultured bacterium. Its description in RNAcentral is "partial 16S ribosomal RNA". It matches the Rfam family "Bacterial small subunit ribosomal RNA", at positions 524 to 776 of the family's 1533-position model. The record is from RNAcentral.
UACGGGGGGGGCAAGCGUUGUUCGGAAUUACUGGGCGUAAAGGGCUCGUAGGUGGCCAACUAAGUCGGACGUGAAAUCCCUCGGCUUAACCGGGGAACUGCGUCCGAUACUGGAUGGCUUGAGUUUGGGAGAGGGAUGCGGAAUUCCAGGUGUAGCGGUGAAAUGCGUAGAUAUCUGGAGGAACACCGGUGGCGAAGGCGGCAUCCUGGACCAACACUGACACUGAGGAGCGAAAGCGUGGGGAGUAAACAGG